GGGUAAGUCCUAUACGACCAGCUCCUGCCAACCUCCCCAGGCCGGGAACGGAGCAAGGAUACGCGGUUGAGCGGUGCGAUAUAGAAAGCUUACCCGUA
RNAcentral lists this signal recognition particle RNA (98 nucleotides) under Bacteroidota bacterium. RNAcentral describes it as "signal recognition particle sRNA small type". It matches the Rfam family "Bacteroidales small SRP", at positions 8 to 103 of the family's 107-position model. Rfam says of the family: The non-coding component of the signal recognition particle in Bacteroides RNAcentral also lists the same sequence under 3 other names. Lineage: Bacteria; Pseudomonadati; Bacteroidota. The record is from RNAcentral.